AUUGAACGCUGGCGGAAUGCUUUACACAUGCAAGUCGAACGGCAGCACGGACUUCGGUCUGGUGGCGAGUGGCGAACGGGUGAGUAAUACAUCGGAACGUGCCCGGACGUGGGGGAUAACUACUCGAAAGAGUGGCUAAUACCGCAUACGAUCCAAGGAUGAAAGCGGGGGAUCGCAAGACCUCGCGCGUUUGGAGCGGCCGAUGGCAGAUUAGGUAGUUGGUGAGGUAAAGGCUUACCAAGCCUGCGAUCUGUAGCUGGUCUGAGAGGAUGAUCAGCCACACUGGGACUGAGACACGGCCCAGACUCCUACGGGAGGCAGCAGUGGGGAAUUUUGGACAAUGGGCGAAAGCCUGAUCCAGCAAUGCCGCGUGCAGGAUGAAGG
This 384-nucleotide ribosomal RNA is filed under the name uncultured bacterium. Its description in RNAcentral is "bacterial SSU rRNA". It matches the Rfam family "Bacterial small subunit ribosomal RNA", at positions 30 to 414 of the family's 1533-position model. The record is from RNAcentral.